This 1180-nucleotide long non-coding RNA is filed under the name Homo sapiens (human). RNAcentral describes it as "non-protein coding lnc-SPRY1-11:30". Lineage: Eukaryota; Metazoa; Chordata; Mammalia; Primates; Hominidae. The record is from RNAcentral.
GACAAAAAAGCUCAAGGCAGGAACAGCAGCCCAGGGACCUGAGACCAGCGUUCUCAAAUGAAGGUGAUCUGCUGUUAGAGGAGAAUUCUUCUGUCCUAGCUGUGUCUCUGUGAUCUGUGGAUGAGGGUGGGAAAGCACCACUCAGUCAAUUGGGGUGUACAAAAUGGAGUUUGAGAAGGUCUCACAUCCAGGUUGUUUUGAAGCAAAGUCCAAGCAUUGUAUCACUUCAUCUGCAAAUAUUUCAAUAAGUACCCAAAAGUGGUUGGACUGAGUCCCAUGAAGCCAGAUCACUUCUGACUGCAAGGAGCUUGGAAAAGCAAGUAUCUGGAUCUUUUACCAGCUAAAUUUGGAGCGAUGAGGCUUCCUCUUUGAAGAUCACAGGUGAGAAGAUUAGGUGCUUUCUCAGAAGCCCAGCAACCUGAUGGGAGUGUGGAGUGAGCAAGACCCAAAUCGGAGCUUCAUCCCUGCAUGGUUCAUUUUGCUUAUUUGGCAAACUUGCCCUGCAGAAUCUACUCAAGCUUCCUCAGUUUCUCAAAUCAUUCUUGGGCAACAAAUGAACAAGAAAGAGGACGUCUUAUUAUCUGGUGUCUGGCUUGCUGAUUUAAUAACCUAGGAGACAGUGUUUGAAGAACACAAACUCUAAAGUCCUUCACUUAAAAAAAAAAAAAAACUUUCCCAAAUUGCUUACCAUUUGGAAAAAUUGCCUUACCUUCUUCAGUCAUCUCUGAUGUUGUCAUCCUCAGAGUAAGAAGUACGCAUUCAUAAGGAACCAUAACGUCCUUCAGGAAAUCCAGUACACCCUACAAUUUUACCUAAAACUUUGAUGUUGUUUUUUCUGAGCAUUUUACCUUCUAGGGAAAUGGAUCUCAUGCUGUUUAUCAGUUUCUGAAAGUUGUUAUUAAUCUCCCCUCAUCCCAAAAUUGAAGAACUUUGCUUAAAUCUUAGAAUCAGAACUUUGGCUCCAGUAAUAAAGACUUUUCAAUAUCUUUAUCUGCCAUUGAGUCUUACCUAACGAAAUAAAGCCUCCAAAGUGGGAAUUUGAAAUGUUUUAGAAUCUUUUUUUUUCCUUUUGACAUAGUGAUUGGUGGGAUGCUACAGGCAGUUAGUGGUUAGGGUCCAGAAAUGCCAGACAUCUUGCAGUGAGAGGGAUAGUCUGUACAAGGAAGAAUUCUCACAUGUU